This 443-nucleotide ribosomal RNA is filed under the name uncultured bacterium. RNAcentral's name for it is "partial 16S ribosomal RNA". It matches the Rfam family "Bacterial small subunit ribosomal RNA", at positions 338 to 795 of the family's 1533-position model. The record is from RNAcentral.
CCUACGGGAGGCAGCAGUGGGGGAUAUUGGACAAUGGGGGGAACCCUGAUCCAGCGACGCCGCGUGAGUGAAGAAGUAUUUCGGUAUGUAAAGCUCUGUCAGCAGGGAAGAAAGAAAUGACGGUACCUGACCAAGAAGCCCCGGCUAACUACGUGCCAGCAGCCGCGGUAAUACGUAGGGGGCAAGCGUUAUCCGGAAUUACUGGGUGUAAAGGGAGCGUAGACGGUUAAGUAAGUCUGGAGUGAAAGGCCGGGGCCCAACCCCGGGACUGCUCUGGAAACUAUUGAACUUGAGUGCAGGGGGGGUUAGCGGAAUUCCUAGUGUAGCGGUGAAAUGCGUAGAUAUUAGGAGGAACACCAGUGGCGAAGGCGGCUUACUGGACUGUAACUGACGUUGAGGCUCGAAAGCGUGGGGAGCAAACAGGAUUAGAUACCCCGGUAGUC